Molecule: ribosomal RNA, 424 nt
Filed under: uncultured bacterium
Lineage: Bacteria
Description: bacterial SSU rRNA
Rfam family: Bacterial small subunit ribosomal RNA
Source: RNAcentral
AGGGAAUUUUCGGCAAUGGGCGCAAGCCUGACCGAGCAACGCCGCGUGAGUGAUUAAGGCCUUCGGGUUGUAAAGCUCUGUUGUAAGGGAAGAACAUUCAGGAUAGGAAAUGAUCUUGAACUGACGGUACCUUACCAGAAAGCCACGGCUAACUACGUGCCAGCAGCCGCGGUAAUACGUAGGUGGCAAGCGUUAUCCGGAAUUAUUGGGCGUAAAGGGUGCGUAGGCGGUUUAUUAAGUCUAUGGUGAAAGUGCGGGGCUCAACCCCGUAUGGCCAUAGAAACUAGUAGACUUGAGUGCAGGAGAGGGCAAUGGAAUUCCAUGUGUAGCGGUAAAAUGCGUAGAUAUAUGGAGGAACACCAGUGGCGAAGGCGGUUGCCUGGCCUGUAACUGACGCUGAGGCACGAAAGCGUGGGGAGCAAAU